GCCCACCAGGGGUGAGAGCCCAGGCUAGCAGGGCAGUCCUGCCCAGCCCCACUCAGCCUUCCCAAGAUGACCCCCGCUCAGCCACCAUCUCGAGGCACUCCUAGGAACCCCUGCCUGGCUCUGAGCAGCAACAGCAGAAUCUUCACGUCUCUGGCAGGCGGAGGACGGUUCCGGAAGUGGUGGAGAUGCUGUUGCCAGGGGACAAGGCUCACCAGUCCACCAGCUGGGCUCCUAUGAGGUCAUGGACGUGGUAGGCCAGGCCAAGGCGCACUGCAGCAGGCGCCCGCCGGCCCAGAAGCUCUGACAGGAGGACCUCCCGGUACUUGGCUUUACGGACCAUGCCAAGGACAGCCUGGCGCCCUGGGAAGUGGCACAGGAAAAGGGGAAAACUCCAGGCACCGCCAGCCACCAGCUCCCAACAUCUCGGACAGUGAGGACUCCAGCAUUCACCAAGUGUCUGCAGGCAGUGGGAAGCCGGGAGAUGUGGCCGGGCUCCAGAAGCCCCUCUCCUCCCCAUGUUUAUGUCUGAACACUGAGGCUCCAGAAACAGAGGUAACACCCUCAGCAAGAGGGACUGGGUGAGAAUUGCCCCCUCCACACACACGCACGCACGCAUGCACGCACGCUGCUUCCAUUGUCCCCACCUGGACUUCCCUCCCUCGUCUCUCCUUCCCCGAACAACCACUUGUUUAGCAGAGCAGCUUCCUCUCAGAGGUCCUCCCGACCCUGAGGAGUAGGAAUCUUCCUUGGGCCUGUGAGUCUCACCACAGCUUCUGCUGCACCUCAUGUUCCAGCAUGAACAUGAGGCUUUCCGGCCAGUCCCCACGUGCAUUCUGCGAGCCAGCGCUCCCGGCUUUGUGUAGUCCGGUGCUCUUUCCAAGGCCCCAGGCUGGAAGCACCGAAGCCAGAAACCUCUGCACAGCCCCAGCACACGGUCGGCCAUCACAGGCCUUGAGGACCUGGAACCAGAGAGGAGAGACAUGGUCCGGGCCUGCCCUCCCCUCCACCUGUCUCCACCCCCAGGACACCGACUCUCCUCCUGGUUUCCCCUCCUCGGUCCUUCCACCUCCCGGACCUUCCCUCCUCUCCCUCGUUUUACUAUUAACCAGAGCCCUGUGCCCUGUCUGUGAAUCCUGGGGUAGGAAAAUUAUUUCUUUUGAUUUAUUUCCAUUCUCCACCCCCCCACACACAUGCAAGCAUGGUCACACAUACUCUGGUCGUGUAGUCCUCAGUGAAGAUAAUCCCGUGGGCAUCCAAGUCGAAGCCCAGCUGGAUGACUCUGAUCUCUCCCUGUUCUUGAAGCUCCUUCUGCCUCCACACACAAGGGGAUGGAAAGGAGGAGUCUGUUAGAGUGAGAUGCUCUGCUAUCCCUGGGCACUCCGGGGCAGGAGCUCUCGUUUACUAGUACUGGGCAUUUUACUGUGUGAGGAGAUAACCAGGUAUAUCACAAAGCAAGCUUUCCCACUAGGUACCCACCCAACUUCCCAGCUAUCUGUCAAACAACCAGUGCGUGUUCUGUAAGACAGAUCUAUGCCAGGCACUAAGAUAAAGCAGUGAUUAUGACAUGGGCCCUGCCCUCAAGGAAUCAGUGGUCUAUUUUGAGUGGGGGAAGGUGGAGAGUGGCAUUAAACAAUAAAACAAAUAAAAACAAAGCAGGACUUCUGCUUAUGAGCAUAGA
This is a non-coding RNA of Heterocephalus glaber (naked mole-rat), 1678 nucleotides long. NCBI's taxonomy places the organism in Eukaryota, Metazoa, Chordata, Mammalia, Rodentia, Bathyergidae. The record is from RefSeq and is a predicted model, not a curated record.